GCCUAAAGCGUCCGUAGCCGGCCGAGCGGGUCCGUCGGGAAAUCCGCGUGCUCAACGCGCGGGCGUCCGGCGGAAACCACUCGGCUUGGGGCCGGAGGACUCGAGGGGUACGUCCGGGGUAGGAGUGAAAUCCCGUAAUCCUGGACGGACCGCCGAUGGCGAAAGCACCUCGAGAGGACGGACCCGACGGUGAGGGACGAAAGCCAGGGUCUCGAACCGGAUUAGAUACCCGGGUAGUCCUGGCCGUAAACGAUGUUCGCUAGGUGUGGCGUCGACUACGAGUCGGCGCUGUGCCGCAGGGAAGCCGCUAAGCGAACCGCCUGGGAAGUACGUCCGCAAGGAUGAAACUUAAAGGAAUUGGCGGGGGAGCACUACAACCGGAGGAGCCUGCGGUUUAAUUGGACUCAACGCCGGAAAUCUUACCAGCUCCGACAGUAGCGAUGACGCUCAGUGUGAUGAGCUUGGUUGAGCUACUGAGAGGAGGUGCAUGGCCGCCGUCAGCUCGUACCGUGAGGCGUCCUGUUAAGUCAGGCAACGAGCGAGACCCGCACUCUUAAUUGCCAGCGACACCGCGAGGUGGUCGGGUACAUUAGGAGGACUGCCGUCGCCAAGACGGAGGAAGGAACGGGCAACGGUAGGUCAGUAUGCCCCGAAUGAGCUGGGCUACACGCGGGCUACAAUGGCUCUGACAGUGGGAUGCAACGCCGAGAGGCGACGCUAAUCUCCAAACGGAGUCGUAGUUCGGAUUGCGGGCUGAAACCCGCCCGCAUGAAGCUGGAUUCGGUAGUAAUCGCG
This 795-nucleotide ribosomal RNA is filed under the name uncultured Halobacteria archaeon. RNAcentral's name for it is "bacterial SSU rRNA". It matches the Rfam family "Archaeal small subunit ribosomal RNA", at positions 508 to 1302 of the family's 1478-position model. Lineage: Archaea; Methanobacteriati; Methanobacteriota; Halobacteria. The record is from RNAcentral.